UACGGGGGGGGCAAGCGUUGUUCGGAAUUACUGGGCGUAAAGGGCUCGUAGGUGGCCAACUAAGUCAGACGUGAAAUCCCUCGGCUUAACCGGGGAACUGCGUCUGAUACUGGAUGGCUUGAGUUUGGGAGAGGGACGCGGAAUUCCAGGUGUAGCGGUGAAAUGCGCAGAUAUCAGGAGGAACACCGGUGGCGAAGGCGGGUCUCUGGACAGUUCCUGACGCUGAGGCACGAAGGCCAGGGGAGCAAACGGG
This 253-nucleotide ribosomal RNA is filed under the name uncultured bacterium. RNAcentral describes it as "partial 16S ribosomal RNA". It matches the Rfam family "Bacterial small subunit ribosomal RNA", at positions 524 to 776 of the family's 1533-position model. The record is from RNAcentral.